GAUGAACGCUAGCGGCAGGCUUAAUACAUGCAAGUUGAGGGGCAGCAUGAUAUACGCGAGUAUAUUGAUGGCGACCGGCGGACGGGUGAGUAAUAGGUAGGAGACCUACCUCAUACAGGGGGAUAGCAUAGAGAAAUCUGUGGUAAUACCCCAUGAGGUUAUAUGAAUAGAGGCAUAUAAUCAAAGCAUAAGCGAUUAUGCGGUAUGAGAGGGGCCUACUGACCAUUAGCUAGUUGGUGAGGUAAGGGCUCACCAAGGCGAAGAUGGUUAGGGGUUUUGAGAGAGAGACCCCCCACAUUGGAACUGAGAGACGGUCCAGACUCCUACGGGAGGCAGCAGUAGGGAAUAUUGGGCAAUGGGCGAAAGCCUGACCCAGCCAUGCCGCGUGAAGGAAGACGGCCUUAUGGGUUGUAAACUUCUUUACUACGCGAAUAGAGGUUAGUACGAGAUACUAAUAGGAAGGUAGUGUAGUAAAAAAGCAACCGGCUAAACUCCGUGACCC
Molecule: ribosomal RNA, 502 nt
Filed under: uncultured bacterium
Lineage: Bacteria
Description: bacterial SSU rRNA
Rfam family: Bacterial small subunit ribosomal RNA
Source: RNAcentral